This 433-nucleotide ribosomal RNA is filed under the name uncultured bacterium. Its description in RNAcentral is "partial 16S ribosomal RNA". It matches the Rfam family "Bacterial small subunit ribosomal RNA", at positions 29 to 507 of the family's 1533-position model. The record is from RNAcentral.
AACGAACGCUGGCGGCAUGCCUAACACAUGCAAGUCGAACGAGACCUUCGGGUCUAGUGGCGCACGGGUGCGUAACGCGUGGGAACCUGCCCUUAGGUUCGGAAUAACUCCCCGAAAGGGGUGCUAAUACCGGAUAAUGUCUUCGGACCAAAGAUUUAUCGCCUUUGGAUGGGCCCGCGUUGGAUUAGCUAGUUGGUAGGGUAAAAGCCUACCAAGGCGACGAUCCAUAGCUGGUCUGAGAGGAUGAUCAGCCACACUGGGACUGGGACACGGCCCAGACUCCUACGGGAGGCAGCAGUGGGGAAUAUUGGACAAUGGGCGAAAGCCUGAUCCAGCAAUGCCGCGUGAGUGAUGAAGGCCUUAGGGUUGUAAAGCUCUUUUACCCGGGAUGAUAAUGACAGUACCGGGAGUAUAAGCUCCGGCUAACUCCGUG